This 456-nucleotide ribosomal RNA is filed under the name uncultured Pseudomonas sp. RNAcentral's name for it is "bacterial SSU rRNA". It matches the Rfam family "Bacterial small subunit ribosomal RNA", at positions 923 to 1382 of the family's 1533-position model. The record is from RNAcentral. Lineage: Bacteria; Pseudomonadati; Pseudomonadota; Gammaproteobacteria; Pseudomonadales; Pseudomonadaceae.
GCACAAGCGGUGGAUCAUGUUGUUUAACUCGAUGAUACGCGAAGAACCUUACCAGGUCUUGACAUCCCCCGCGAUGCUUUAGAGAUAAAGCGGAGGUAUUCGGGGAGACAGGUGGUGCAUGGUUGUCGUCAGCUCGUGUCGUGAGAUGUUGGGUUAAGUCCCGUAACGAGCGCAACCCUUGUCCUUAGUUACCAGCACGUUAUGGUGGGCACUCUAAGGAGACUGCCGGUGACAAACCGGAGGAAGGUGGGGAUGACGUCAAGUCAUCAUGGCCCUUACGGCCUGGGCUACACACGUGCUACAAUGGUCGGUACAAAGGGUUGCCAAGCCGCGAGGUGGAGCUAAUCCCAUAAAACCGAUCGUAGUCCGGAUCGCAGUCUGCAACUCGACUGCGUGAAGUCGGAAUCGCUAGUAAUCGUGAAUCAGAAUGUCACGGUGAAUACGUUCCCGGGCCUU